UACUUACCUGAGAUCCGGAUUGCAAGUUUCUUUUUCACGGAUCCCACGCACUCUAGGGGCUGAUCCUCCCUGAGUGCUAUAGCAACGAGUGGUGCCUUUACCACUCCAAUCUUGUGAGUGUAAUACCUUAAGGGCACCUCUGUUGGCUUUAUUUUAUAUAUCUAUAAGUGAAUUACUAUGCUGCACUAGGAGCUCUCUUUCUGUUUUUGUCUCCUUAAUAGGUGUCCGAGUGAUUUCCAUGUUUG
Pelobates cultripes (western spadefoot toad) is the source of this 245-nucleotide non-coding RNA. NCBI's taxonomy places the organism in Eukaryota, Metazoa, Chordata, Amphibia, Anura, Pelobatidae. The record is from the annotation of a GenBank genome assembly.